Molecule: long non-coding RNA, 10808 nt
Organism: Homo sapiens (human)
Lineage: Eukaryota; Metazoa; Chordata; Mammalia; Primates; Hominidae
Gene: TLN2-AS3
Product: TLN2 antisense RNA 3
Exons: 7
Source: RefSeq, a predicted model, not a curated record
AUUCAUUGCUCAUUGCUUCCAAAUCCAAGGAACAGGCAUCUCGGAUCACUGCGCUGUGAGGGCAGGAGGACCCUUCUUUUGGAAAGCGGAAACAGGGCUACCCGAUCUAUCGGUGUCCUAUGGAACCACACUGCCCCCUGUGGUCAGAACCACCUGGGAUGCAGAACAGCAAGGACUGCAAACUUGGGUGCAGAGGGCUUUCCUCCACGCAACCCAGGAAGCUCCGUGAUUGGCAAACUGCUCUGUCAGGAUCCAUCGAAUCAGCAAACAUAGGUGCCUCUAGGAUGCAAACCAGGGAACAGGACUGUUAUGUGGCUUGCUGGUAGCCAAGCAAAAUGCCCCGAUCCAUCAGAUUAGAAAUGCCUCACACUUUUCUAAGUCUGGCUGCCCCGCCACAAACAAGGACUUCUGGCCCCCAGCAAUUCCCAGUCCAAACAGGAAGGAGGGCCUGGCAGUCUCCGGGGGUUGCAGUUGUGGCCUCAGCUGUCAGAAGUGAACCUAACCUUCCUGUGCCAGGACCUGGGUCAAGAUUGGAGAUGAUCCCAUAUGCACUUCUGUAUUCAGCUGUGCGGUCUUCUGACAGAGGCGGUUGGUGAGAGGCCGCUGAAUGAGACCCAGCCUCGUGUUUUGUGGGAUGAAGAGAUGCAGACAAAGUGACUCAGGUACACUGAUGCUCCCUGGAGGGCUGGGAGGUGGGCUCAGAGGAAGAGGCCGAAUCCAAACCUUUUUUAUUGAAAAGAAAUAGCUCUUGUUUGUAGCAUUUAAAAGAAUCAACCCAAACUCUGCACACACUCAUCCGUAGUGACCAUAAACAUGACAUACCAAGCAGAGGCUCAGAAAGAUGGAGCAACAGACUGAGGACAUUUUCAACAUGGUACUUGGGGAUACCUUUGGGAAAGAUGCCUUCCCCAGCAGAGGCCAGCACUGUGGAGAGAUAGGACCAGAGCCACUACUGGCACAGUUGUCAAGAUCUUUUGCUUUCUGAACUCUGGGGACCGCUGCCUUUUAGCCUGAGGGGAAUGUCUCCAAAUUUCUUGGGUUGGUAAGUCUCAGAAGCAGCCAGCCCCUUGGUCAACAGAGGGUACCUUUCCUCCAGGAAUCUGAGAAUGGAACAUGCUGAUAGUCUGUGCUGAGAUCUUAAGGCCAGCAUCCCAGAGGCCUUUCCAGAGCCCAGAACCUCAAAGCUGGGAGAGAAGAUUCUGGGGACUAUCUGCCAGGGAGGAAACCAAGGCUCCUCGGGGGUCAGCGUGUGAGUUCCCCAGGAGCAGAGACCAUGGCUUGCUCACCACUUUUGACCUGUGUCUGGUUCCUUGAUGAGGUUUUGGCCUUGGCAUCACUUUGGAGGUGGGGUUUACUCUCUUAGGCUAUGGUGAAUUUUGGUUAUAAUUUUUUGAUAAAUUAGGAACAGGCUUUAGUUGCCUGUAAACACACUGACUAAGACAGCCAGAAAGCAAGCAGGUGAGAAUCAGAAGAAGCUCGAAGGGUUUUCCCUGAUAAAAGCAUAUGCCGUGAGGCUACAGGCAGCUCAUUUCUUAAGGCCCGUGCAUAGACUGCAGGCUGGGCAGCUGCCUCUGCAGCCGACCUGGAGGGACUGUGUUGACCGACUGCAGGGCCAACCAGGAAUUGAGGAACCUGCCUGCACAGAUGGCCAGGGCCACAGCUGGCUGGACACUGGCAAAACUUAAACAAGGGCUGUUCAUUGAACUAAAUAUGACCUCAGCAUCCCUAUCUAAAGACUCCUGAAAGGCCCAAGUAAAAUCUAAAUUUUCAAAUCACUGGGCAGUUCUGAAAUCCAGUUCAGGUUCCCCUUUUGGCCAUCGGGAACAGCAAUUUCUGGCACAAAAAUCAGCCCAAGGAUUCAAAGCCCUCGAGGAGUAGAGGGGUGUGAGAAGAACCACAUGUCAACACACCGGCUCUCUCUUCACAGAGAUACACUUCUAUGCUCCAGACCUGGGGCCGUUUUUACUCUGACACCACUCUCUUAUUAGGUGUUCUGAAAGUUCACACUCCCAAAUGAACUCAUGCCUGUGUUAUUUUCCUUUGAAGGACCAGAAGGCCCCCUCAGUACCAUCUGAGGACACCGCAGUAGUGCCUAUUAAAUAACAUCCAGACAAGGCAUGGCCCUUCAACUAUCUUAUGAAAUGAGAAACCACCACACCGGCCACGAAGCCGUUCACAUACACAUGUGCAGGGUGGAUGAGGAAAGGACAGAUGAGAAACUGGGACCAUACCAGGUGAUAACUGAGAACCAAACUCCCCAAAGCUCCCAGCACUGGACGACUCCAGAAAGGGUCUCAGCACCACAGGCUCUAAGAUGGAGUGACUGCUAGAGACAGGUAAAGAAGAGCUUUUCAUUUUUCCUUAGAUCUUCCUUAAGGGCUAUUGCCUGUAUUGGCUUAUUUUUAAUGCUCAUGAAACAUGUCCCCAGGGACAUGCCAGCUGAGGUUUGGAAUUUUCUUCUAAAAGUGGUUAAGGCUUCAUUAAACCUCUCUUAUUUCUUGUCCAGCGCCCCCUCAGAGUCGAAGGCUUGUGCUUGAGGGUUCGCCAUCAGAAAGUUGAGAGUUCUUCUCAUUCAAAGUUAACUGCCCCAUCUGGUCUGUGAACUAAAGUGACCAAUGCAAACUAUGAGGGCUUGCACAGGGUGGGACGCGAACCAAUUAAUAUUUGACAAGUAAUCACCAUGUGCUUAUUUGCCAAAGGGUUUAUGAGGUCAGAAAUCUUUAGCCCACUUUUCUGAUGUGAAACCAAGGUUAAGAAACCUAACAUUUUGUAGCUAGCAGGUUAUACAGCUGGGAUCUGCACAUAGGUCCAUCUAGCCCCAGGGAACUCCUGAGUCAUUUAUAAGGGGCUCAAAUAAAACAUUGCAACAUCCAGUUAAAUCGGUAAUGAUGGGAACAAGAGUGAUGCUGCAUUCUAUCUGUGUAAAUCCUUAGGACCUAACAAAGCACUGUCAUAUGCAUUCUCCUAUUUGACCCUCAUAAGAGUCAGUGUGGAUGGCUCUAUCCCCAUUUUACAGAUGAAACCCCUGAAAAGUUUUGAGUGAUUUAUAUAAGAUUAUGCACCUAAUAAAUGGCAGAAGCAGGACUUGAACCAGGUCUCUCUUAACUCAGGAUGUUUUCCUCAGAAGUGUCCCCCAGACCCAGAAAUCACAUAUUCACAAACGAACAUGCAGCUCCUCAAUUUUUCCCUGGGUUUAUCCCAGGUAUCAAAUAAAGGUGAGGGAGGUGUGGGUCAGAGAGGGACUCAAGAGGGCCAAAAAAUGGAAAUGCACUUUAGGCCUUUCACAAUACAACAAGAAUUCUGAGAUUUCUGCCAUUUAUGAUUUGCUACAUGACUGAUGUAAACAUACUUUUAGCAAUACAGACAAUCUACAUUUUAACACUUACAAUAAAAAAAUCUCGAAAAUUGGAAACAAAAUGUCCAAAGUAUAGGGAAAUUCUGGCAUAAUCAGUUGAUGUAAUAUCAUGCAAUCAUUAAAAAUGGAACUCAUGAAGAAUGGGCCAGCUAGCUUUGCAUAGAGAAGUUAAUGAAGCCUUAUCUUCAAGGAAAAAUUACAUAUGAUAAAAUGUUAAGUGAAAAGAAAGCAGAAUGUAUCUCGCCAUGAUUACAACUGGACAAAAUUAUUUUAUAUGUAGAUAAAAACGAACAGAAAGCAAUGAUAACGUUUGCUAUAUGAAGAUGUUGGGGCUGUGUGAUUUUUUUCAUUUAAGCAUUUCUUUUAUUGUAUUUAAAAUAUUUUUAUAAUUAAAGCAAUCAGGAAAAUGUAUCUGCUCUGAGAAGGACUUGAUUGUUACCUUCCUAACAUGUUCUCUGGGCUCUGGGAAACAGCAACAGUCUCAUAGAAUUUCAGUCAUUUUACUCCCUUCUGUAGCAGACACUGGCUGAAGGCCUCCUCUGAAGCAGGCACCGAGUUAGUAACGUAUGAGAGAGGCACAGAUGAAGAUGUGGUGCCUGCAUCUAAGAGGCUCACAACCUGCUCACAGACAGACCUACAGUAGCACCAUGUGAUGGGAACCUGAGUGGUCUGGCUAGGGGCUCUCAAAGCACAGAGGAGGGAUAAACUGCCCAAACCCUGGGAGUCAGGGAGGGCUUCCCAGAUGAGUCACAAAGGACAAGUAGGGGUCUGCUGGGUUGGGCUGGCGAGGAGCAGGGCCCCAGGGCAUGAGACCAGAAGGCACACGAGGAGAAUGGCAGCGUGGUGGGGCAGCAGUGGAGGAUGCAUGGACGCACGCAGUAGAUGAGGCUGGAACGUGGACAGGGCUGGCUGAUGGAAGGCCUGGUGGGUCAUGCCAAGGAAGUGAGGCUUGUCCCCUCUGGUGACACUUACCCGCUCCAACAGGAGUAUUUUCCCACCAGCAUCAGUGACCAUUACCUGUAGCCGCCUCAUGGCCUCUGAAUCCUGGUCGGCCUUCACCUUGCAGGCCACCAGCAGCUGAGCCGUGGAAGCGGCGACCUGCUUGGCAGAUGAGAUGAGCUUCUCCUCGCUGGCGUGUCCCUGAACGGAGGCAUUGGCCGCCUCACAGAGACUGCUGGUCGCAGCCGCCACCAUCCGGGCCUGGGGACAGUCAACGGAGAAGUGACCCAAGGCCCAAACCUCCCUCAGGGGACCCCAAAAGCAAACUGGGAGGAAGGAGAAGGCAACUCACAGCAGAAAUCAGCCCCUGUGACCACUGUCCGUCGUCUGCAGCAUUGGCAGGGAUGGAGCCCACCUAGAGAGUAGAGUCGAGAAAUUGGCCAUGAGGGCAGGCAGCCCCAGUGGUCGCAGCCCCUCAUCCCCAGACCUUGCUCGGGAACCAGACUUGUACCCCGCUUGGUGCCUCCUGCCAACAGCACAGGCCUGAGAAUGGAGCAACCUUUCUCACGUGGGACUCAGGCCAUGCCAAGAAAGAUUGCACAGCACAUCCUGGCAGGUUUCGCCACCAAGAGGCGACAGGAAAUGCUAAGAAUGGCUCCACUUAGCUUCCAGGUACUGCAAUUCUGGGAAACGGCUCAGGAAUGAUGACCUGGGGCUGUCUUUCUACACUUACUCCUCUGCUGAGCUUUCUCCAUUUCAUAUGUGGGAGCCACUAGGCCUCCUCUUUUCAAGGGCUAAGAGAAAUUUAAAUCUCUCCCGAUUACUGACCCUGAAAACCACACUGCGUUUCUGGCAGAUGAUGUUAAAAAAGUGUGGUGGAACUCCCUCUGAAAUCAUGGCAACAAGUAGAACAUUUUCUGUCCACAUCCAGAGGGAGAAGCCACAGGAGGAAAUACCUUGAAGCUUGUGGGACGUGCCUGGUGAGGAUAUUCCGUUCAAUGACACAUCUGUCAUCUUUACAUGUUGACCAGCCAACAAGAACUUGCUGAGUACAGGACGGACAAGGUUGGCAUUCCGCUGGCUCUACAGGGGAUCAACGGGAAGGAUGGAGAGAACAGCUUGUGUGCCAGGUGGGGAGACGGACAUGGACCAAUACUGAAUAACCUACAACACAAUGGUUUAGAAAGAGAAUUCAAGGUAUGUGGACUGGACUUAAGCCAUGGCUAAGCUCACAAAAGACUUCCUGGAAGAAGAUGUACAGCCUAUGGUGAGGCACAACCUCCCUGUCUGUACUGCGAGUUCUUGGGUCAAGACACAACUCACCUCUACCUAUCUGUACACUGACAGCAAAGUCCUUUUAAUAUCAAACAGAAAUGAAUGACAAUGAUGGUGACCACAUUUCCCAAACCCACGAACGGUCAGGUUUCUGUGGCGCCUCUCCAUUUGAGAGGCUCUCUGAAAGCCAGUCGUGGAUAGCAUGCUUCCAUGUGUAUGUAAAUAACAAGACAUAUGGAACAUGUUAAAUCGGAAGACUGUUCCAUAUCCAGAAUUACUAAUGUACUAAUAAUCCUUUGAAUCCUCAAAAAAAACAAAAAACACUAUACUUUUAUGCCAAAGUAGAUGGAAUGGGUGACUAGAGAUAAAGCUGAAGAAAUUUCAGAUUUAAAAUCUGACUGGCCCAUUCACCAGCAGACUUAGGAAAGUGCUAACUGCGAAGCUGGCCAGUAUUCAGCUCGACAGUCCUAAAAACAAACGGAACCCUUUGGAGCUGGAAAGUGGUAUCAUAAAAGCCGCCGAAUGCGGUGCUUCUAGAGCGGCCCACCAGGAAAAUAUGACAGUUUACAUCUUUACGUAGCCUAAUGUACAGUGGGAAUAUAAAUAUCUCGUUCAGGCCCCAGUCACUGCCUGGAAUGGGAUGCUUUCCUUAACAAGAAGCAGAUGAGAGGCCCAGAAGCCAAACCUCUUAUUCUGUUGGUCUGAAGGCUGUAGUUUUCAGUCGGUCAGCACAGAGAGUGGCAAUUCAGGGAGGGAAGGCACUGCAUGUGUUUCCUUGGUCAGGACAAAAGCUUGUAGCUCUUUUCCUGGGCCCCCUGAGGCUCUCGUACGUUGAGUGUCCCGCAUGUGGUCAGCGGCUUUACCCACCUUUCCUUGGGCCACCAGCUCCCUCUGGGCUGCUGAGGCCGAUUUGACCAGGGCGCUUGUGGCAGCAGCAAUGGAUUUAGCAGCUUCCAAGAUCUGUUCCUCAAAGUCCAGGGUCUCAUCCGCUUGCUAUAACCAAAAGAAAACAGCAUCACAUUCAAUUCAUAUCCACAAAGGGCUCUUUCUUCCAAACUACUUACUGCCGGGUCACCUGGCUCUUCACCUGCCUAUUGUUUUUUGUUGACAAACCACACCUGAAAUGGGAUGGUUCCUUAACAAGAAGCAGAUGACAGGUCCCCUGUGCAAACUUUCAGGACUCUUAAGUCAGUUUGGUUAAGCCACCCUCGGGUCACAGUGUGGAAGAUGUGGCUGGUACCUUUCAGGCAUUAAGAGACAAUGGCCAGGCACAGCAAUAGUUUUCUUUGUAUGUGUGGUACAAUAUAUAUAACACAAAAUUUACCCUUUUACCUAAUGUUAAGUAUUAAUACACUGACACUGUUGUACAACAGCAAUACCAGGAUAGAAAGGUCAGGAUGCCUCUCCACCUGCAGCCCCUUCCCCCUAACUCCAAAAGGAAAAAGCCGUUAGCUUGACAUCCCACGGAAAUUUGCAGACAGACUCAUUUUCUGGAACAAAAUCUUUAAAGAUAUACACUCACUGUGAACAAAAUACACUCAAAUGGUUUUAGCAACAUCAAUAACUGAAACCAAAAUAAUAAAAUCAAAACAGUAGAUCAUAGCACUUACUCUCUUCUAGAGCCUAAGCCUCAAAAAUGGACUUUAAAAAAAAAAAAAGGAAAGAUGGCUACCAGUUCUGAAAAGUUGUCUUUUUCCUGGGUAAAAAUCAAAGCCAAACAGCACUGGCAUUUCUGUGGCUGAGCACUGAGAGAGUUAUAGACCAAGCACACAUUGCCCAGUGGUGAAAAAGAAACCAGGGCAACACGACAUCAAGGUGGAGCUUGUUCUGUCCUCUGGACACCCGAGGCACGGGAUCCACCUUGGGAAGAACACUGGACACCACUGUGUAGGUGUUAUCAGACCAUUAGGGUUCUGGUCUAAAUUCACCACCAUCUCCUUUGCUGCUAAAACAACUCAGGAAGUUGAAAAGAAGCUUUGGAGAAGUGGAACAAGUAUAAAGACUGUGGUCCCAGGCUCAUGGGUUGGAGCAUCACAGUUUUGCCGGGGGGUGGUCAGAUUAGACCUGUGUGACAACAUUCCGUGACUCUAGGUCAAUUUGGUUAAGCUGCCCUCAGGUCACACAGUGUUGAAGAUGUGGGUGGUACCUUUCAGGCAUUGAGAGAUGAUGGCCAGGCCCAGCAAUACUUUUCUCUGUAUGUGUGGUAAAAUAUAUGUAACACAAAACUUACCCUUUUAUCCAAUUUUAAGUGUACAAUUCAGUGGCAUUACGGACAUUCACACUUUGUGCCAACAGUAGUAGAUUUUUAAGAGUGCCUACUGUGUACCAAGUAUUUUGUUAGGCACUUCUACAUACAAUGACUUAAUUCUCACCAAAAAAAAAAAAAAAGAUCGUAUAUUGGAAUUAUCUUUAUCCUUAUUUUUACAGUGAGAAAACCCAGGCUCAGGAAGGUAGAUGAUUGGGCCAAGGUGAUGUGGCAGCAUGAAGCAUCUAAACCAGAAUCUAAACCUAAAUCUGACUCCAAAAUGAGGCACUUUAACUAGCCAAAGCCACCCCUUGGGGCAUCAGUGAGAAACGGUUUGUGCCAGAGGUUCAAAGUCAGCUUGCUAACGCUCCCAUGUGAAACGUCAGACAGGAGGGAUACAAGUCUUCUCCAGCUCUCCAUUCAUAAUGCCACAUCUUGAACCAUGAAAGGUGCUAAUCCUUUUUCUUUAUAACCUACAUUAUCAAAAUACAAUUUCAAUGCACUUCUAAUGGAUCUGAAUGAUGGUAGCAUUUCAGAAGUUCUGAGACAGACUUGUGCAUUCUUUCUUAUUGCUGACCAAGUCUUGCUCUAAGAGUAUUCAGGACAGACAUGAAUUUAGUUCUACUGGACUCAUUUUGGACUGGUGGAGUAUAGAAUUUGGUGACUGAAAUACGGAAAUGAUCCAUUGUAAGACACUCUCGUAUAAAAGGAACUCUUGUGUAGUCAGUCCCCAAAUAAAUUAUAGUAGGCUCUAAUUUAUAUAUAUUAAAUAUAUAAAUAAUGUAUAUUUUAAUAACCGUGAGAUUAAGAGCUUUUCUGGAAAUUCAUUCUGCCAAAGAAUGUCAGGCACAUAACAGAUUAAAGCACCAGGGAAAUCACAGAAUUUUUGACUCCAAACUCCUCAUCUCAUUUUGCAGAUGAGGAAACGGAGGCUUGUGGGAGCUCUUCAUGGCGGCUCCUGAAGUCUCUCACGCUCUUGCCUCAGGUGUCCUCAGCUACUCUAUGGGUUCCACGCCCGAGUCCACUUUACAGUGUGGAAUACUCUGUCAGACUUUUUAUUUCCCAAAUUUUAAGAUUUUCAAAAAUGGAAUUUCUUUAAAAUUAAGUGCUACGUCUUUAGCAGGGGUAGAUCUGAUAGGAUCAUCUCAUCACAACUGAUUUUACGAGCCUCUCCCACAUCUUCCGCUGCCUGGAGUUUUUUUUUUUUUUAAACACAAGCUUGUAAUAAUAGAUAUUCAACUUGGAAAUAUUUUUGACACCCACAGAUUUUUCUGGUAAUGGCAACUGUUGUAAUGUUCUUUGACGAAUUUUUAUUUUUCUUCCCACAACAUCUCUAUGCUUUAAAACAGAUACGGCAGAAGUUCUUAUCUCUGGGAGACAUUUGCUCUGAUAAGAAAGUAUUAAGAUUCUCCCUAGAAAGGCUGACUGGGAUGGCACAGGGAUGGAGGGCUAAUGUUAGAUACUACAGUUUGGGCAGAGUACCCUGAUGAAACCUGCCUUCUGACUGCUGUGUCCCUAUUUUCCUGUAUGCCAGGUUUAUGACUAAGACGCACUGCCCACCCUACCUCUACUGCUGAAAUCAGACACCAAUACUUAACGUGUCCUCAUACCAUACAACUUCUAGCCUUAGAGAAAAUGGCAUCUCUCCAAGCCAAGGAGACAUGGUCAAAAACCCAGGUGCCCCAUCAGUUCCAGCUCCCAUUAGCAUGCAGAAUGGAAUAGGGGAGAAGGUAGGAAGGACACACACUUAACCAUAUCACAAGAAGGAAACAGAAUUGGCUUGGUCUUCAAAGGACUUUCCUAAAUAAAAGAAUCCCAAUUAAAAUGCAGAAUUUGUUAAUGGAACAGUCCCCACUGCAGCUGAGAGACUGGGGAGACUAAGAAGAACAACAUGGUGCACAGUGACUCCGGGGAAGAAUCUGCAGGCUGGGCCCUCUCCUGGAGCUCUCAUUCUCACCUUCUCACCAGAGAGGCUCACCUGGUUGGUGUCUUAAGGCCCUCUUUAGCUGAGAUGUUACUGACCUGACCAGGGUCAGUCAGAUCUCUCCUUCUGGUUUAUAAAGGGGAUAACGGAAUCCUCGCUUCUGGGUGUUUCAUUCUUUCCACAAUUGGAUCAUGUAAAGACCCGCUAAAAUAAUCUUUUAAAGAUUAUGACUAAUCCUGUGCAUGUGGCUAUUUAUGUUUCUCUAUAACUACUGGCAUCAAGCUAAAGCAAGGAACUUUAGAAAACAAUUUCAUUAAACAGGAUAAAUUGAUAGUCUUUAGCCAUAAAAAAGAGUGAGAUCCUGCCAUUUGCAACCACAUGGCUAGAACUGGAGAUCCUUAUGUUAAGUGAAAUAAGCCAGGCACAGAAAGACAAACAUUGUAUGUUCCCACUUAUUUGUGGGAUCCAGAAAUCAAAACAAUUGAACUCAUGGACAUAGAGAGUAGAAGGAUGGCUCCCAGAGGCUGGGAAGGGUAGUGAGGGGCUGGGAGGUAGGGAUGGUUCAUGGGUACAAAAAAAUAGAAUAAGACCUACUACAUGUGACAGCACAACAGGGUGACUAUGGUCAAUAACUUAAUUGUACAUUUUAAAAUAAUUAGAACAGUGUAAUUGGAUUGUUUGUAACACAAAGGAUAAAUGCUUGAGAGGAUGGAUACCCCAUUCUCCAUGAUGUGCUUAUUUCACAUUGCAUGCCUGAUAUUGUUUGGCUGUGUCCCCACCCAAAUCUCAUCUUGAAUUGUAGCUCCCAUAAUCCCCACAUGUCAUGGGAGGGACCUGGUGGGAGGUAACUGAAUCAUGGGGGCAGGUCUUUCCUGUGCUGUUCUCGUGAUAGUGAGUAAGUUUCAUGAGAUCUGUUGGUUUUAUAAAGGGGAGUUCCCCUACACAAGCCCGCUUGCCUGCCGCCAUAUAAGAUGUAUCUUGCUUCCCCUUCGCUUUCCGCCAUGAUUGUGAGGCCUCCCCAGCCAUGUGGAACUGUGAGUCAAUUAAACCUUUUCUUUAUGUAUCACCCA